This 1346-nucleotide ribosomal RNA is filed under the name uncultured bacterium. Its description in RNAcentral is "bacterial SSU rRNA". It matches the Rfam family "Bacterial small subunit ribosomal RNA", at positions 28 to 1381 of the family's 1533-position model. The record is from RNAcentral.
GACGAACGCUGGCGGCGUGCUUAACACAUGCAAGUCGAACGAUGAAGCCUAGCUUGCUAGGUGGAUUAGUGGCGAACGGGUGAGUAAUACGUGAGUGACCUACCUUUGACUCUGGGAUAAGCCUGGGAAACUGGGUCUAAUACCGGAUACGACCAAUCUCCGCAUGGGGUGUUGGUGGAAAGCGUUAUGGAGUGGUUUUAGAUGGGCUCACGGCCUAUCAGCUUGUUGGUGAGGUAAUGGCUUACCAAGGCGACGACGGGUAGCCGGCCUGAGAGGGUGACCGGCCACACUGGGACUGAGACACGGCCCAGACUCCUACGGGAGGCAGCAGUGGGGAAUAUUGCACAAUGGGCGCAAGCCUGAUGCAGCGACGCCGCGUGAGGGAUGACGGCCUUCGGGUUGUAAACCUCUGUUAGCAUCGAAGAAGCGAAAGUGACGGUAGGUGCAGAGAAAGCGCCGGCUAACUACGUGCCAGCAGCCGCGGUAAUACGUAGGGCGCGAGCGUUGUCCGGAAUUAUUGGGCGUAAAGAGCUUGUAGGCGGUUGGUCGCGUCUGCUGUGAAGGCUGGGGCUUAACCCUGGUUUUGCAGUGGGUACGGGCUAACUAGAGUGCAGUAGGGGAGACUGGAAUUCCUGGUGUAGCGGUGGAAUGCGCAGAUAUCAGGAGGAACACCGAUGGCGAAGGCAGGUCUCUGGGCUGUAACUGACGCUGAGAAGCGAAAGCAUGGGGAGCGAACAGGAUUAGAUACCCUGGUAGUCCAUGCCGUAAACGUUGGGCACUAGGUGUGGGGGACAUUCCACGUUUUCCGCGCCGUAGCUAACGCAUUAAGUGCCCCGCCUGGGGAGUACGGCCGCAAGGCUAAAACUCAAAGAAAUUGACGGGGGCCCGCACAAGCGGCGGAGCAUGCGGAUUAAUUCGAUGCAACGCGAAGAACCUUACCAAGGCUUGACAUAUACUGGACUGCGUCAGAGAUGGCGUUUCCCUUCGGGGCUGGUAUACAGGUGGUGCAUGGUUGUCGUCAGCUCGUGUCGUGAGAUGUUGGGUUAAGUCCCGCAACGAGCGCAACCCUCGUUCUAUGUUGCCAGCACGUGAUGGUGGGGACUCAUAGGAGACUGCCGGGGUCAACUCGGAGGAAGGUGGGGAUGACGUCAAAUCAUCAUGCCCCUUAUGUCUUGGGCUUCACGCAUGCUACAAUGGCCGGUACAGAGGGUUGCGAUACUGUGAGGUGGAGCUAAUCCCUAAAAGCCGGUCUCAGUUCGGAUUGGGGUCUGCAACUCGACCCCAUGAAGUCGGAGUCGCUAGUAAUCGCAGAUCAGCAACGCUGCGGUGAAUACGUUCCCGGGCCU